UGGUGGAGUCCGUGCGGUGUCGGCCCGAGGGGCUGAAUUUCGGUGAAUUUGAUAGCAAAUGAUUUGAAUUUUGCUCAGAUGGGUUGUGAAUUUAUAUACAGCAAGUGUCACAAACAUGGAAAGGCAAGUUUACAAAGGACAGGAGACUUAGAAAGGCUUCAAUUGACGUAGCCGAAGAGAGGCGAGAAGCCGAAGAUAGACCGACUCCAAACGAUGCCCAGUGCAAUCAUGCUUCUGGUGCGGAGUUGUCAGGAUGGAGUCCGAGGAAUCAAAGAAGGCAGAGGACCUGCGUAUGAAGGAACCAGCCCUGCGGAUGAAGUUCUGAGGUGCAUACAGAGGGAUCCCACUGAAAGACCAGGUGCAAUGCUGCAUUGAUAAGAUCCAGAUUCAAGAGCAUGGAUGCUACCAGAUCCUGUGAUUUGAAGUUACCAGUGUCACUGCUGCUACAAAUGACAUCAGCAACACUUCCUUUGGUGAAAGUUUAGAGGAGCAAACAGUUGAUGCUCUGUGUAGUCAAGCAGUGGAGUUUUGCCACAAUCAUGAAGCUGAUUAAGGUGUCAAUUUUUUGCUCUGGCUUCUGGGACACCUUGGAUCUACAUUGCAACCUAUGCUAGUGUUCAACAUUUCGUGUCAUAGUAUCACUGAUGCAAAGCGUGUUGCAUCAUACACAAAUGAGAGCUAACAAAUUGUCAGAUAUUUUCUAGUGAUGAGAACUGAAUGCCUUAAGCAAUUGUUGAAGGUGAUAAAUGGUGAAUGGUAGGGCUCAGCCACUCAGCUCCUUCCUUCAAAAGCUAUCAAUCAGCUCUAGAAGAGUAGUCAUAGCAAUGCUUCAUAUGUGAAGGCUACUUGCCUGAACAGAACAUUGUGGAUUUGUUAAUUAAGUACCUCUUUAUUACAAGUUUGUGCCCAUUACAAGCCAAGCUUAGUUUACUUAGUUUGUUGUAAGUUUUCCAGCCAGCCUUCACACUUGUGUCGCUGAAUAUUAAACUUUAACUGAUAGACCGACAGAUAUUGUCCCUCAUCAGAUUUUAAUCAGUCAGUCGUGUUGGUAGAAGGUACAUCUGUCUUAAAAGUACCGCGGAAAGUGACGGUGGAUCCAUCAAGCCUGACCGAGGAUGUCAUAUAGAGCCACGCAGAAAUGGCCGGUGAUUCGUUGCCCAUCAUUACAGAAUGAACGCAUGCCGGAUGAAGGGUUAAGUCAAUAGUCUACAAACUACAGGGAUGUGGUUGACUUAUCUGACAGUGACGAGCGCUAGAGGUCAACUUAAAGGGACCCUCCCACCUUCAAAAAAGUUAAUGAAUUGGCAUAAAAGUGAUGUAGCGUGAAUCACAAAGAGCGAAAAUGAACAUCUACCAAAUUUUACCGGAAAAUAUUCACCCGUUUUCGAGAUAUAAGACUUUUAUUUUUGUUUACUUUUUGGGAACUCCGCUGUUUCUGUGACGUCACAUAAAGGUUUUCUUUACGUCGGCAUUUGGAAGCAAUAGUUUGGUAUCAAAGUGCGACAAAUAUUGCGCGAAUGAUGCGUUUAUCUUAUCAAGGUCAAUAUAUGAUGACCAAUAAAGGAUUCCAGGACAAUUCUUCUUAUGGCAUUUCUUCGUAUCGCAAUUCUUCGUCUGCAAAUCUUCGUCAGGGCAUUUAUUCGUAUCGCAUUACUUUGUCUCGCAUCAGGGUAUAUGAAAAUCGGCUCGCAUUUCUUCUUCAACGCAAAUAUAUGCAAGAGUAAGCAUUGAGGGACAAAUAAAUGCACCGACGAAGAUUUGUAGACGAAGAAAUGCGGACGAAAAAUUGUGCUACGAAGAAAUGUCAUGCGAGAAUUCGUUCGGGUACCAUGACAUUUAUGUGAUUUCAAAGUCAAGGUUCGCAGCUGAUCUGCUAAAUCAAGCCAAGAAUCCAAACUAUCAAAAAACUAUAAAUAUUAGUUUGUCUGUCACAGAGGUCUCAAGCAAUAUAAGGUUGACAUAUGUUGAAUCAAAAAUCUACUGCCACAGCUCACAUCUCCUGCCUUAGUUUAUCAUUGUUGUUUUAAAUUGCUUUCAAGAGAAACAGAAGGCGCCAGUAUCUGAUAUCACUUCAGAUGAUUGUUUCAAGAUCUGAGUUCAAAUGGAAAUAAAAGCAAGAUCAAGAUGAAACAGGGAUUAUUGCUGUUAAAGUAGUUUGGCCAUGAUACAACAAGCACAUAAAUCAUUAGCCAAAUCAAAAACUGGUUGGUUUGUCAAGAUGUUUGUUGUCUGUCGUCAGUUGAGCUGCUAUGAACACUGAACGCUCUCACUCUUACUUUAAAGAGAGCAGUUUAAGUUGAAUGGUAGUGAGCUGUAAUUAGACAAAGCAGCUAUUCAGUGCUCACAUCAAGCCAGGCUAGGAAAUGGCAUCAACUGUGGUGGGAGGAAGCAGGCUCGGCAGCCCUAUGUUGUAAACUUCUGUUGUGUCUUGUGUUUGAUCAACUGAUGUUUUCUGCAGUGAUAGUAGCAGGUAACUGCAUGCUUGUCAAAUUAUGUGAAUAAACGAAUUCAUAACAUUGCAUUUUUCUCUCCAUGCAAGGAACAAGUAAGAUGUUGUAGAAAAUGUAUUAGAGGGCUGCAUUGCUGAUUUUGCACUUUAUCAGAGCUUUAUUUAGAAUUGCUUUCCUGAAAGCUACACACAGGCCACAGCACUGAAAUUCACAAUGUCAUAGCUUUUGGCAGAAAAAAAAGAAAAGACUUACCUAGGUAAAAUUGGCUGAAAGUAUGGCAGAGCAGGUCUUGAUGCGUAUGCCCAUCCGUGUGCUUGCCGAAGCCGAACUGACUGCAACACAUUAACUCUGACCCACCAUGGUGGCUGGCAUAUCCUGAACUUUCACCACCCUAAACAAGACAACUUUCAGCCCUCAGCAUUGUAUUAAAAUAAAACACUGUACAUGACACUCAAAAUUUGUUUCAGUGCCAUCCACAGACAACAUCAGUCGCCAUUCACCUUCACCAGGCCAGUAAAAACAGAAUAGAUAAUAGCUUCAAACCCAUGUAGUCAGAGUUACUAGGUCUGCACCUCAAAACAAAAUCCAGGUGACAUUCACCACGCCAGUAAAAAACAGGUACUUAGGUAACGUAACAGCUUCAAAUCUGGUAACAUGUUGGUCGGACUUUACACUACCAUAUUUACAUGGAAUAAUAUGAUACCAAACAAUAGUGCAACCAUUCUGGACAACAAAAGUGUAUGACAAAAUUAAUUUAGAAUACUUUGGCAGCAUGAUUUAUGAGCACAGGCAGAUGUUACCUACCAGCCUUCUCAAUGCUCGUAAAACCAACAUUGUAGUUUUGAUUUUACCUUACAUGAUAACACACUUGGCUGCAAUGACACAUUUAAUUUAAUACUGUGAAAAGACCAGUUAUAACCACUUCACAAGCACAAUUGCACCUCAUGCCGACAUCCUUUUCCAAAGACAGUCAGCAGCGUCUUUCGUCAAAACUGGAAGAUCAAUCCCCUUUCAACUGUUAACAUCAAAAAUAUUUCUCCAUGGUGUGAUCUCCAUAUGAAAGCCUUGCAGGAAAAGAAUUAAUGUCAAUUGUCAGCUCUUCAAAUUUCUUUGGACUUUAACUUGCAGUACCAUAUCCAGUUUGCUUUGAUAUUUUGUUUUUUAUUCCAUGUUUAAGUUCAACACCAAGCUCCAGAUAUAGCAGGCAGCUUGAUCAUCUUCGGCCUUGGUAUAAUAUAUAUGGCCUUGGGUAUAAUAUCAGUCCAAGUUCCAGUGGUGGGUAUCUUCUAAUAUUCAAAUUAAAAUGAAAAGCAACAGGCUUUCUCAGCGCCCACGGUCAUAGAAUACUAUCAGCGCCGACGACGGAUUUCACGUUGAUAAAGAAGGGAGCUCAAGGUCAGCAAAUUUCGGGUUCAAGGAAUGGCGGGCGUUGAAAUGACUGCUGACGUCAUCAAAAAACCGCUAAUGGUUAAGAGAUAGGGACUAAGCUGGUCCCACCCUGCAAGUAAAGGGAAGAAAUUUCUUGAACACCAUAAAGCUGCGGGGUUUGCGACCAGGAUAAAUGGUGGUUUCUGAGCCUGGCCGCAAACUUGGCUAUCUCAACUCAAAACUAAUGUUAAGGUGGGAUGGUCCCUUUAAGUCCGUAGGUAUGCGUUCUUGUCAUGGAAUGUGUGCUGUAAAUCGAUUGUUUCAUGCGUGUGAAUAUAUGUCUGAAUGUAAUAGGGUUUUUAAUUUCAACUGUGUAAGUUAAAAUAUGUGAUAACAUCGUAUCUUUCGUACUCCGUAGCUUUUGGUGACCAUUCGAUCAGCUCCCUUUCCUUCCGCUCAAUGACGAUGUAGUAGUU
Amphibalanus amphitrite is the source of this 4294-nucleotide long non-coding RNA. RefSeq lists it as uncharacterized. NCBI's taxonomy places the organism in Eukaryota, Metazoa, Arthropoda, Thecostraca, Balanomorpha, Balanidae. The transcript has 3 exons. The record is from RefSeq and is a predicted model, not a curated record.